This 1298-nucleotide ribosomal RNA is filed under the name Bacillus licheniformis. RNAcentral's name for it is "bacterial SSU rRNA". It matches the Rfam family "Bacterial small subunit ribosomal RNA", at positions 57 to 1335 of the family's 1533-position model. The record is from RNAcentral. Lineage: Bacteria; Bacillati; Bacillota; Bacilli; Caryophanales; Bacillaceae.
GCAAGUCGAGCGGACCGACGGGAGCUUGCUCCCUUAGGUCAGCGGCGGACGGGUGAGUAACACGUGGGUAACCUGCCUGUAAGACUGGGAUAACUCCGGGAAACCGGGGCUAAUACCGGAUGCUUGAUUGAACCGCAUGGUUCAAUUAUAAAAGGUGGCUUUUAGCUACCACUUACAGAUGGACCCGCGGCGCAUUAGCUAGUUGGUGAGGUAACGGCUCACCAAGGCAACGAUGCGUAGCCGACCUGAGAGGGUGAUCGGCCACACUGGGACUGAGACACGGCCCAGACUCCUACGGGAGGCAGCAGUAGGGAAUCUUCCGCAAUGGACGAAAGUCUGACGGAGCAACGCCGCGUGAGUGAUGAAGGUUUUCGGAUCGUAAAACUCUGUUGUUAGGGAAGAACAAGUACCGUUCGAAUAGGGCGGUACCUUGACGGUACCUAACCAGAAAGCCACGGCUAACUACGUGCCAGCAGCCGCGGUAAUACGUAGGUGGCAAGCGUUGUCCGGAAUUAUUGGGCGUAAAGCGCGCGCAGGCGGUUUCUUAAGUCUGAUGUGAAAGCCCCCGGCUCAACCGGGGAGGGUCAUUGGAAACUGGGGAACUUGAGUGCAGAAGAGGAGAGUGGAAUUCCACGUGUAGCGGUGAAAUGCGUAGAGAUGUGGAGGAACACCAGUGGCGAAGGCGACUCUCUGGUCUGUAACUGACGCUGAGGCGCGAAAGCGUGGGGAGCGAACAGGAUUAGAUACCCUGGUAGUCCACGCCGUAAACGAUGAGUGCUAAGUGUUAGAGGGUUUCCGCCCUUUAGUGCUGCAGCAAACGCAUUAAGCACUCCGCCUGGGGGAGUACGGUCGCAAGACUGAAACUCAAAGGAAUUGACGGGGGCCCGCACAAGCGGUGGAGCAUGUGGUUUAAUUCGAAAGCAACGCGAAGAACCUUACCAGGUCUUGACAUCCUCUGACAACCCUAGAGAUAGGGCUUCCCCUUCGGGGGCAGAGUGACAGGUGGUGCAUGGUUGUCGUCAGCUCGUGUCGUGAGAUGUUGGGUUAAGUCCCGCAACGAGCGCAACCCUUGAUCUUAGUUGCCAGCAUUCAGUUGGGCACUCUAAGGUGACUGCCGGUGACAAACCGGAGGAAGGUGGGGAUGACGUCAAAUCAUCAUGCCCCUUAUGACCUGGGCUACACACGUGCUACAAUGGGCAGAACAAAGGGCAGCGAAGCCGCGAGGCUAAGCCAAUCCCACAAAUCUGUUCUCAGUUCGGAUCGCAGUCUGCAACUCGACUGCGUGAAGCUGGAAUCGC